GUACGUACAAGCAGUGGGAGCACAGGUUUACCUGUGUGACUGCGUACCUUUUGUAUAAUGGGUCAGCGACUUAUAUUCUGUAGCAAGGUUAACCGUAUAGGGGAGCCGUAGGGAAACCGAGUCUUAACCGGGCGUUAAGUUGCAGGGUAUAGACCCGAAACCCGGUGAUCUAGCCAUGGGCAGGUUGAAGGUUGGGUAACACUAACUGGAGGACCGAACCGACUAAUGUUGAAAAAUUAGCGGAUGACCUGUGGCU
RNAcentral lists this ribosomal RNA (256 nucleotides) under Salmonella enterica subsp. enterica serovar Paratyphi B var. L(+) tartrate +. Its description in RNAcentral is "Salmonella enterica subsp. enterica serovar Java partial 23S ribosomal RNA". It matches the Rfam family "Bacterial large subunit ribosomal RNA", at positions 560 to 816 of the family's 2925-position model. Lineage: Bacteria; Pseudomonadati; Pseudomonadota; Gammaproteobacteria; Enterobacterales; Enterobacteriaceae. RNAcentral also lists the same sequence under 1 other name. The record is from RNAcentral.